AAUCCACUGCAAAAUGGUGCUCAUCUCUUUACUUUUGUUCUGUACUCUUGCAUAUGUCAGCUUUGGGAAUGUCAUCACACCAGUCCAGCCUGAGGUGUUUGGGACAGAGGGGGACAAUAUAACUCUGUCCUGUAACUACUCUUCAGCAGUUAGUCUGCAGUGGUAUCGCCAAUAUCCAAACUCAGCUCCUGAAUUUCUUUUGAUAAUACUACAAGGGACAGGGAAAGUUUCACAGAAGUCUAAAAUUGUAGAACAAGAUCCUCGAUUCUCUGGAAAAGUAAAUGAAAAGAAAACCCAUGUGGAUCUGGAGAUCUCCUCUGCUAAAGUGACAGACUCUGCUCUGUACUACUGUGCCCUGGAGCGUUCAUUUACUAAUACAAUUGAACCAAGAGAAGGAGACACUAAUAUAAUCAGAGAAGAAGGAGAGUUUGUGACACUGAGCUGCACAUAUGAAACUAAAAGCAAUGAUAUUUAUCUUUACUGGACAUUGACAGGACAGGAGGAGGAGUUUAGCACAGACACUAUACAGCAUACAGCUGGGUAA
Sinocyclocheilus anshuiensis is the source of this 544-nucleotide non-coding RNA. The record is from the annotation of a RefSeq genome assembly. NCBI's taxonomy places the organism in Eukaryota, Metazoa, Chordata, Actinopteri, Cypriniformes, Cyprinidae.